This 434-nucleotide ribosomal RNA is filed under the name uncultured bacterium. RNAcentral's name for it is "partial 16S ribosomal RNA". It matches the Rfam family "Bacterial small subunit ribosomal RNA", at positions 29 to 507 of the family's 1533-position model. The record is from RNAcentral.
AGCGAACGCUGGCGGCAGGCCUAACACAUGCAAGUCGAACGAACCUUUCGGGGUUAGUGGCGGACGGGUGAGUAACACGUGGGAACGUGCCUUUAGGUUCGGAAUAACUCAGGGAAACUUGUGCUAAUACCGAAUGUGCUCUUCGGGGGAAAGAUUUAUCGCCUUUAGAGCGGCCUGCGUCUGAUUAGCUAGUUGGUUGAGGUAAUGGCUCACCAAGGCGACGAUCAGUAGCUGGUCUGAGAGGAUGAUCAGCCACAUUGGGGCUGAGACACGGCCCAAACUCCUACGGGAGGCAGCAGUGGGGAAUCUUGCGCAAUGGGCGAUAGCCUGACGCAGCCAUGCCGCGUGAAUGAUGAAGGUCUUAGGAUUGUAAAAUUCUUUCACCGGGGGCGAUAAUGACGGUACCCGGAGAAGAAGCCCCGGCUAACUUCGUG